ACUUAAAUAGCUUAAAAAGAGCACAAUAUUGAAGAUAUUGGGGUGAUUARUUUAAUCUUUAGGUA
This 65-nucleotide transfer RNA is filed under the name Hygrotus impressopunctatus. Its description in RNAcentral is "tRNA-Phe". Lineage: Eukaryota; Metazoa; Arthropoda; Insecta; Coleoptera; Dytiscidae. The record is from RNAcentral.